Molecule: unclassified non-coding RNA, 313 nt
Filed under: Hevea brasiliensis (rubber tree)
Lineage: Eukaryota; Viridiplantae; Streptophyta; Magnoliopsida; Malpighiales; Euphorbiaceae
Source: RNAcentral
AUCAGUCAACGCCAAACCAAACCCAUAAUCCCUUCUUUCCCCUCUCCUUCAAUCCUCAAUCUGAAACAAUCCUCAUCUGGGUUUUACUCUCCACCCCAGAAUCUCAAAUGGGUCGCAGACUAAACGACCCAGAAGCUUCCCGUUUCACCUCUCUCACCCUCCUUCUGCUGGGUUUUAUCUCCUGCGCGUUGUUCUACACGAUCCUCUCCUUAGUGCUUAAUGCCAGCGCCAAUUUUACAAAUUCAGGCUCCGAGUCUUUGGAUUUGAUAGAGGAGAGUUCAGAGGGUAAUGAUGGUGGGUGUUGUAGAGGGAU